This is a long non-coding RNA of Callorhinchus milii (elephant shark), 330 nucleotides long. RefSeq lists it as uncharacterized. The transcript is spliced from 3 exons. Lineage: Eukaryota; Metazoa; Chordata; Chondrichthyes; Chimaeriformes; Callorhinchidae. The record is from RefSeq and is a predicted model, not a curated record.
GGUGGGAUGAAGCUUUGGCAUUAAUAACUGCAUCUAUUUAUUAAAGGUGCGGUUCAGUAAUGUGUAAAGUGCUUGACUAUCCCUUUGGCACAGUGGGAAGGCGGUCGGAUUUGGGAUGUUCCGUUUCCUCUCCAGUGCUGGGCAGCUAAUGCCGGGGCGAGGUGCAUCCCACAUUACUUAAGGACAGUUCAAGACUGAAGUGAAGAUGCCGCAUAAGAUAAACUAACUGUAGACCACCAGCAGCCUGAUGCCCACAAAUGUUGCAGUUCCUGAGCUUUCAAGGCUGACUGACGACCUGAUGAAAAGCCUUACUCCUUGAUGUCCAUCAAU